GACGAACGCUGGCGGCGUGCUUAACACAUGCAAGUCGAACGGAAAGGCCCUGCUUUUGUGGGGUGCUCGAGUGGCGAACGGGUGAGUAACACGUGAGUAACCUGCCCUUGACUUUGGGAUAACUUCAGGAAACUGGGGCUAAUACCGGAUAGGAGCUCCUGCUGCAUGGUGGGGGUUGGAAAGUUUCGGCGGUUGGGGAUGGACUCGCGGCUUAUCAGCUUGUUGGUGGGGUAGUGGCUUACCAAGGCUUUGACGGGUAGCCGGCCUGAGAGGGUGACCGGCCACAUUGGGACUGAGAUACAGCCCAGACUCCUACGGGAGGCAGCAGUGGGGAAUAUUGCACAAUGGGCGGAAGCCUGAUGCAGCAACGCCGCGUGCGGGAUGACGGCCUUCGGGUUGUAAACCGCUUUCGCCUGUGACGAAGCGUGAGAGACGGUAAUGGGUAAAGAAGCACCGGCUAACUACGU
This 467-nucleotide ribosomal RNA is filed under the name uncultured bacterium. Its description in RNAcentral is "partial 16S ribosomal RNA". It matches the Rfam family "Bacterial small subunit ribosomal RNA", at positions 28 to 506 of the family's 1533-position model. The record is from RNAcentral.